AAGUCGUAACAAGGUUUCCGUAGGUGAACCUGCGGAAGGAUCAUUAUUGAACUAAGUCGGAUUCGAUGCUGGCCCUUAACCCGGGCAUGUGCUCGUCCUUCAUUUUUCUAACCUUCUUUAUGUGCACAUUUGUAUGCCCCUGAGUAACGAGCGCCUCUCGCAGCAAUGCGGUUUGCUUGGGACUGACGGCCUGGUCGUCUUUCCUGCAAUGCUCUCUGGGGGCUACGUUUUUAUAUACAAGUCAGUUAUAGAAUGUCUUUUAAUGACUGUUGCCUAGCGCAUGGUCUUAAACAAUUACAACUUUCAGCAACGGAUCUCUUGGCUCUCCCAUCGAUGAAGAACGCAGCGAAAUGCGAUAAGUAAUGUGAAUUGCAGAAUUCAGUGAAUCAUCGAAUCUUUGAACGCACCUUGCGCCCUUUGGUAUUCCGAAGGGCAUGCCUGUUUGAGUGUCAUUAAAUUAUCAACCUUGCUCGCUUUUACCGGCUUGAGCUGAGGCUUGGACGUGGGGGGUUUUUGCUGGCUUCCUUCAGUGGAUGGUCUGCUCCCCUUAAAUUCAUUAGCGGGAUCUCUUGUGGACCGUCACUUGGUGUGAUAAUUAUCUAUGCCGCUUGACCUUGAAGCAAAUUUAUGGGACCCUGCUUAUAACCGUCUCUUACCGGGACAAUUUAAUAACAUCUUGACCUCAAAUCAGGUAGGACUACCCGCUGAACUUAAGCAUAUCAAUAAGCGGAGGAAAAGAAACUAACAAGGAUUCCCCUAGUAACUGCGAGUGAAGCGGGAAAAGCUCAAAUUUAAAAUCUGGCGGUCCUUGUGGCCGUCCGAGUUGUAAUUUAGAGAA
RNAcentral lists this unclassified non-coding RNA (838 nucleotides) under uncultured Mycena. Its description in RNAcentral is "sequence contains ITS1, 5.8S rRNA gene and ITS2". The stretch from base 299 to 452 matches the Rfam family "5.8S ribosomal RNA". The record is from RNAcentral. Lineage: Eukaryota; Fungi; Basidiomycota; Agaricomycetes; Agaricales; Tricholomataceae.